Molecule: ribosomal RNA, 497 nt
Filed under: uncultured bacterium
Lineage: Bacteria
Description: partial 16S ribosomal RNA
Rfam family: Bacterial small subunit ribosomal RNA
Source: RNAcentral
GAUGAACGCUGGCGGCGUGCCUAAUACAUGCAAGUCGAGCGAACAGACGAGGAGCUUGCUCCUCUGACGUUAGCGGCGGACGGGUGAGUAACACGUGGAUAACCUACCUAUAAGACUGGGAUAACUUCGGGAAACCGGAGCUAAUACCGGAUAAUAUAUUGAACCGCAUGGUUCAAUAGUGAAAGACGGUUUUGCUGUCACUUAUAGAUGGAUCCGCGCCGCAUUAGGUAGUUGGUAAGGUAACGGCUUACCAAGGCAACGAUGCGUAGCCGACCUGAGAGGGUGAUCGGACAGCCUGGAACUGAGACACGGUCCAGACACCUGCGGGAGGCAGCAGUAGGGAAUCUUACGCGAUGGGCGAGAGCCUGACGGAGCAACGCCGCGUGAGUGAUGAAGGUCUUCGGAUCGUAAAACUCUGUUAUUAGGGAAGAACAAAUGUGUAAGUAACUAUGCACGUCUUGACGGUACCUAAUCAGAAAGCCACGGCUAACUACGUG